UACAGAGGGUGCAAGCGUCAAUCGGAAUUAUUGGGCGUAAAGGGCGCGUAGGUGGCGACACAAGUCUGAUGUGAAAUCCCUGGGCUUAACCUGGGAACUGCGUUAGAAACGGUGUGGCUAGAGUUGGGCAGAGGGCAGUGGAAUCUCCGGUGUAGCGGUGAAAUGCGUAGAGAUCGGAAAGAACACCAGUGGCGAAGGCGACUGCCUGGGCCCAAACUGACACUGAGGCGCGAAAGCGUGGGGAGCAAACAGG
This 253-nucleotide ribosomal RNA is filed under the name uncultured bacterium. RNAcentral's name for it is "partial 16S ribosomal RNA". It matches the Rfam family "Bacterial small subunit ribosomal RNA", at positions 524 to 776 of the family's 1533-position model. The record is from RNAcentral.